Diospyros lotus (date-plum) is the source of this 3213-nucleotide long non-coding RNA. RefSeq lists it as uncharacterized. NCBI's taxonomy places the organism in Eukaryota, Viridiplantae, Streptophyta, Magnoliopsida, Ericales, Ebenaceae. The transcript has 2 exons. The record is from RefSeq and is a predicted model, not a curated record.
CUCCCGCCGUCUCUCUCUCCCUCUCUCCUCCCCUCCUUCCCCAAAUCCCCAAAUAUAACCCUAACUCACCCCUCUCCCCCCUUCUCUCUCUCUCUCUCUCUCUCUCUCUCUCUCUUCUGUGAACUACUCCCGCCGUCGACCCAUCCGCCGCCGCCUCCGCCUCCGCCGCUGCCUCCAGCUCGAUCGGACUCCGCCUUCGCCGCUGUCAGAUCCGCCUCUGGUCGUCGCUGCUACGUCCGUCGUCGCCGCUGCCUCCGCCUCUGGUCGCCGCAGCAGCCGCCGCCUCCAGCUCGAUCGGGCUUCGCCUCCGUCGCUUCCAGAUCCGCCUCCGCCUUCAUCGCUGCCAGAUCCGCCUCAAAGGUAUAUAUAUUGUGUGUAUAUGUAUUCUGUGUGUAUGUAUAUUCUGUGUGUGUAUAUAUUUUGUGUGUGUAUAUGUUAACAGUUGGACUUUGAGUUGUAUGUGGUUCAGUUUUUUAAUACACAAAUUUUACUACAAAUAUUAUAAAUAAAAGUAAUAACAUCUCAAAUAUAUAUAAUCGCUAUCAAAAUUGUCCCAGACAUCUAUACUUAGUUUAGUUUCAGCAAUGGUGUGCAUAUCGUAUGGCCAUAAAUCCACAAAAUGGUAGUUUUCUUGAGUUUUCAGCAAUGGUGUGCAUAUCAUAUAUAUGCUUUUGUCAAUUAAAAAAUUUACUUGAAAGAAAGAUGUUUUAAAGAGUAUAUCCAUAGAUUAUUUAAGGGUAACACCGUCACAAAAUUGUGACAUGGCUUUAGAAGUGGGAGAAUCAAAUUGGUGUGUUCUCCCUUUCUCCAAACCUGCCAGUUAAAUCUUUUGAGUUUCUAUCAGUUAAAAUCUUUUUAAUUAAUAUCAACCGCAAGACUUCACCAAUUUUCCAAACCUAGAAUUGAAUAAUUGACAAUCCUUGGACUUAUUACUGUUUUCAUGCCCAACUGCUUUCAUUUUGUUGUAUUUCCUGUAUGCUAAACAGUACUUAUAAUCCUUGGGUGGGUUAUUUGUUAUAAAUACAUUCAAUAUUUUAUUUCCUAUCUAAUACAUAGAGCAUUUUCUCAAGUAUAUUGAUGUUAGCAAGGAAGUAGGUACAUUAGUAAUCCUUCCAGAUAAAACUAUUGAGCACAGCUACAAAAGGUAUCAACAUUUGCUUGCUUUGGGCGGUUUAGUUGCUUGCAACAUGGGUUGCCUGUUUUUGUUUUUGUUUUUGCUUUUUUUCCCAACUGAAAUCACCUGCAGCAGAAUUGGGCGUGGAAGUUGAUGUUUUCUCUAGAUGAAUGUUGCAUUUUUGCUAUAGUUUUGGUGUACUCUGUUGGAGAUUCUGCAGAAGGUUCUUGGAAAAUAUUUCCCCUGGGUUGCUGAGUUGUUAGUUGGUAAGAGAAUUGCCUUCACUUGCUUUCGUUACUUGAAAGUUUAAUUAUGUUGUCUUAGCAUAGUAUUCUUUAAGAAAUUGGAAGUUUUAUGGCUGUGACAAUAUGUUCCAAUUAUUAUUCAAAUAUUAUUUGAAAGUUGAUGUUAUUUGUGUUAAUGUGGCAAGUUAACAUGCGAGAUGUUACCUCUUUUGUUAUGGUAUAGCACCUCUUAUCAUAAAUUAACUCUCUAUUGAAUACUAUAUCAUGCUGACAUAGUACACACCCUACUUUAAUUUUACAUGAUACAAUCCUGCCUCUUAGAUGUUGCACACUAGUACAAAUCCUGCCUCUUAGAUGAGUCCUGUGAUUUUAUUUUAAUUCUUCAAAUAGUGGAACAGUCAUCAUUGGAAACUUAAUUUGCAGCUUCAUGAAUGUACAAAACUAUUGGUACUUUGAUUUACUUCAUUGUUUUGUUGAAGUAAAUAAUGUUUCCUUUGUAUGCAGUAAUAGGACUCUCUUCUGUUGUAAUGGUGUAUACUGAGAUUUACAGUACCCAUGGGAAUUUGCAUAUUCUUAUUUUUACUAUUGUAGGGAACCAAGGCAUUUUGCAUGUUCAUUUGUCUUAUAAAUGUAAUUAUUUAUUUUAAAUAAUUAAACCCAUAAGGGAACAAGGCCAUCACCAUGAAUGAGUAACUGGCAGCGUCACGAUGGUUGGAUUGCUAUUUUGUUCACAUAUAUAUAUAUAUAUAUUCUAUUGGGAACAUAUAGAUAAAUAUGUAUCCUCAUUGGAAUGUCCAUUGGCUAUACAAUCACUGCAUCAAUAAGCAUGGUGUAAGCCGCUAAGUAAUUUGCAUACAUGGAACAUAUAGAUAUAGAUUUAUAGAUAUAGAUAUAUAGCAGACUUAUGUUUACUUGGACAAAGUUAUUAACAUUGAGAUUGGGUCUUUUACCUCUAUCCAUAUUCUUAUCCGUUACUAAAUUUGUUGUUGGUGAGAUUCAACAAUAACUUUUUUUUUUAUAGAGCAUAUCAGCAACUUGUUCUGUAUAUGUUCUACUUUGGAUUAUCUAUAAGUGUACACGAGAGAAGCUCUCUAACUCUUGAAAUACCGUGUUAAUCCAGUUGUAUAUUCUUGAUUGUAUUAUGAAUUUUUAUGAAUUGCAUUUAAGUGAUUGGUGGGUCCAUUGUGGGCUUUGUGAAUUUAUUUGGGAUAAAUGAUUUGCUUUAGUGAUGUCUAAAUUUAAAAGGAGUAUUGAAAUUUUGCAGAAUUCAAAAACAAGUAUGAGAAAGCAAAAAAAAAUUAGGUCUCAAAUGUCGGGGGCAGUAUGCUUACCUAUGGUUCUAUUCCCAUGUCGGAGUAUAAGAAAAAAUUGGUAAUAUUUGAUAUUUGAUAUUUUUUAUUAUUUUUAUUUUACUUAAUUAUUUUUUAAGAAAUAACAAUUUUUGUAUGAACAUUUUUUUUUUCUUACAGUCGAAGCAAUUUGCUAACUUUCAAACGCUACAAUAGGAGGCAUCAUCACACCAUUGAAGGUAAGUUGCCAUUAUCGUCGAGCUCAUUAGUAGAAUAGAUACAAGAAGCUAUUAAGACAGCUAUGAAAUCCUUUCACAAUCACCUGUCAGCCAUUCAAGGUAGAUUGCCUCUCCCGCCGUCGUCUUCAUCAUCACCACCCUUAGAUCUUUUGGAUUAUUAAGAGGAUUCGUUAUUUGUAUGGAUGAUAGAAUUUAUUAUGUAUUUUACUAUUUAUGAAUGUGUAAUUAGUAUAGAUAGAUUUUACAAUGUAUUUUUAAUAUUUAUGGAUGAUGUGUAUUACUUUAUGGAUUUAUUGUAUUGUAUGAAUGAUUUUUUUUAGUUCGUA